GAGGGUGAACCUGCGGAGGGAUCAUUACCGAGUUUACAACUCCCAAACCCCUGUGAACAUACCAAUUGUUGCCUCGGCGGAUCAGCCCGCUCCCGGUAAAACGGGACGGCCCGCCAGAGGACCCCUAAACUCUGUUUCUAUAUGUAACUUCUGAGUAAAACCAUAAAUAAAUCAAAACUUUCAACAACGGAUCUCUUGGUUCUGGCAUCGAUGAAGAACGCAGCAAAAUGCGAUAAGUAAUGUGAAUUGCAGAAUUCAGUGAAUCAUCGAAUCUUUGAACGCACAUUGCGCCCGCCAGUAUUCUGGCGGGCAUGCCUGUUCGAGCGUCAUUUCAACCCUCAAGCCCAGCUUGGUGUUGGGACUCGCGAGUCAAAUCGCGUUCCCCAAAUUGAUUGGCGGUCACGUCGAGCUUCCAUAGCGUAGUAGUAAAACCCUCGUUACUGGUAAUCGUCGCGGCCACGCCGUUAAACCCCAACUUCUGAAUGUUGACCUCG
RNAcentral lists this ribosomal RNA (494 nucleotides) under Fusarium sp. 2 FLS-2010. Its description in RNAcentral is "eukaryotic LSU rRNA". The stretch from base 176 to 329 matches the Rfam family "5.8S ribosomal RNA". Lineage: Eukaryota; Fungi; Ascomycota; Sordariomycetes; Hypocreales; Nectriaceae. The record is from RNAcentral.